Molecule: ribosomal RNA, 200 nt
Filed under: uncultured bacterium
Lineage: Bacteria
Description: partial 16S ribosomal RNA
Rfam family: Bacterial small subunit ribosomal RNA
Source: RNAcentral
AUUGAACGCUGGCGGCAGGCCUAACACAUGCAAGUCGAGCGGUAGAGAGGUGCUUGCACCUCUUGAGAGCGGCGGACGGGUGAGUAAGGCCUAGGAAUCUGCCUGGUAGUGGGGGAUAACGCUCGGAAACGGACGCUAAUACCGCAUACGUCCUACGGGAGAAAGCAGGGGACCUUCGGGCCUUGCGCUAUCAGAUGAGC